Molecule: ribosomal RNA, 194 nt
Filed under: uncultured Geobacter sp.
Lineage: Bacteria; Pseudomonadati; Thermodesulfobacteriota; Desulfuromonadia; Geobacterales; Geobacteraceae
Description: partial 16S ribosomal RNA
Rfam family: Bacterial small subunit ribosomal RNA
Source: RNAcentral
CCUACGGGAGGCAGCAGUGGGGAAUUUUGCGCAAUGGGGGAGACCCUGACGCAGCAACGCCGCGUGAGUGAUGAAGGCUUUCGGGUCGUAAAGCUCUGUCAGAAGGGAAGAAAUGAGCUUGGCUAAUAUCCAAGUUUCUUGACGGUACCUUCAAAGGAAGCACCGGCUAACUCCGUGCUAGCAGCCGCGGUAAU